This 478-nucleotide ribosomal RNA is filed under the name uncultured bacterium. RNAcentral's name for it is "partial 16S ribosomal RNA". It matches the Rfam family "Bacterial small subunit ribosomal RNA", at positions 28 to 507 of the family's 1533-position model. The record is from RNAcentral.
GACGAACGCUGGUGGCGUGCUUAACACAUGCAAGUCGAACGGGAUUUAGUAAACAGAAGCCUCGGUGGAAGAUUACUAAUGAGAGUGGCGAACGGGUGAGUAACGCGUGAGCAACCUGCCUAUGACAGUGGGAUAGCCUCGGGAAACCGGGAUUAAUACCGCAUAAAAUCGUAGAAACACAUGUUUUAACGGUCAAAGAUUUAUCGGUCAUAGAUGGGCUCGCGUCUGAUUAGCUAGUUGGUGAGAUAAAAGCCCACCAAGGCGACGAUCAGUAGCCGGUCUGAGAGGAUGAACGGCCACAUUGGAACUGAGACACGGUCCAAACUCCUACGGGAGGCAGCAGUGGGGAAUAUUGCACAAUGGGGGAAACCCUGAUGCAGCGACGCCGCGUGAACGAAGAAGGUAUUCGUAUCGUAAAGUUCUGUCCUAUGGGAAGAUAAUGACAGUACCAUAGAAGAAAGCUCCGGCUAAAUACGUG